RNAcentral lists this transfer RNA (57 nucleotides) under Bos taurus (domestic cattle). It matches the Rfam family "tRNA", at positions 8 to 63 of the family's 71-position model. Rfam says of the family: Transfer RNA (tRNA) molecules are approximately 80 nucleotides in length. The record is from Rfam by way of RNAcentral. RNAcentral also lists the same sequence under 1 other name. Lineage: Eukaryota; Metazoa; Chordata; Mammalia; Artiodactyla; Bovidae.
UGGCUCAGUCAGUAGAGAAUCUGCCUGCAGUGCAGGAGACCUAGGUUCAAUCCCUAG